GACGAACGCUGGCGGCGUGCCUAAUACAUGCAAGUAGAACGCUGAAGGAGGAGCUUGCUUCUCUGGAUGAGUUGCGAACGGGUGAGUAACGCGUAGGUAACCUGUCUGGUAGCGGGGGAUAACUAUUGGAAACGAUAGCUAAUACCGCAUAAGAGUAGAUGUUGCAUGACAUUUGCUUAAAAGGUGCAAUUGCAUCACUACCAGAUGGACCUGCGUUGUAUUAGCUAGUUGGUGGGGUAACGGCUCACCAAGGCGACGAUACAUAGCCGACCUGAGAGGGUGAUCGGCCACACUGGGACUGCGACCCGGCCCAGACUCCUUCGCGAGGCAGCCGUAGGGAAUCUUCGGCAAUGGACGGAAGUCUGACCGAAAAACGCCGAGUGAGUGAAGAAGGUUUUCGGAUCGUAAAGCUCUGUUGUACGAGAAGAAUGAGUGUGAGAGUGGAAAGUUCACACUGUGACGGUAUCUUACCAGAAAGGGACGGCUAACUACGUG
This 495-nucleotide ribosomal RNA is filed under the name uncultured bacterium. Its description in RNAcentral is "partial 16S ribosomal RNA". It matches the Rfam family "Bacterial small subunit ribosomal RNA", at positions 28 to 507 of the family's 1533-position model. The record is from RNAcentral.